RNAcentral lists this ribosomal RNA (253 nucleotides) under uncultured bacterium. RNAcentral describes it as "partial 16S ribosomal RNA". It matches the Rfam family "Bacterial small subunit ribosomal RNA", at positions 524 to 776 of the family's 1533-position model. The record is from RNAcentral.
UACGUAGGGUGCGAGCGUUAAUCGGAAUUACUGGGCGUAAAGCGUGCGCAGGCGGUUGUGUAAGACAGAUGUGAAAUCCCCGGGCUUAACCUGGGAACUGCAUUUGUGACUGCACGGCUGGAGUGCGGCAGAGGGGGAUGGAAUUCCGCGUGUAGCAGUGAAAUGCGUAGAUAUCGAGAGGAACACCUGCGGCGAAGGCGGGUUGCUGGGCUGACACUGACGCUGAUGCGCGAAAGCCAGGGGAGCGAACGGG